This 517-nucleotide ribosomal RNA is filed under the name uncultured bacterium. Its description in RNAcentral is "bacterial SSU rRNA". It matches the Rfam family "Bacterial small subunit ribosomal RNA", at positions 351 to 857 of the family's 1533-position model. The record is from RNAcentral.
ACAGUGAGGAAUUUUGCGCCAAAGGGGGGAAACCCUGACGCAGCAACGCCGCGUGAGUGAAGAAGGCCCUUGGGUCGUAAAGCUCUGUCGACAGGGAAGAAAUUACUUCGUAUUAAUAGUAUGUUGUAUUGACGGUACCUGUAGAGGAAGCACCGGCUAACUCCGUGCCAGCAGCCGCGGUAAUACGGGGGGUGCAAGCGUUAUUCGGAAUUAUUGGGCGUAAAGGGCGCGUAGGCGGUCUUGUCGGUCAGAUGUGAAAGCCCGGGGCUCAACCCUGGAAGUGCAUUUGAAACAGCAAGACUUGAGUACUGGAGGGGAGAGCGGAAUUCCUGGUGUAGAGGUGAAAUUCGUAGAUAUCAGGAGGAACACCGAUGGCGAAGGCRGCUCUCUGGACHGAUAUUGACGCUGAGGCGCGAAGGUGUGGGUAGCAAACRGGAUUAGAUACCCCGGUAUCCACACCGUAAACGUUGUUCACUCGGUGUAGCGGAUAUUAAAAUCUGCUGCUCCCCAGCUAACG